This 512-nucleotide ribosomal RNA is filed under the name uncultured bacterium. RNAcentral describes it as "bacterial SSU rRNA". It matches the Rfam family "Bacterial small subunit ribosomal RNA", at positions 1 to 507 of the family's 1533-position model. The record is from RNAcentral.
ACGUAGUUUGAUCAUGGCUCGAGGAUAGAACGCUAGCGGGCGGGCCUAAUACAUGCAAGUUGAACGAGAUUGUUGGUAGCAAUACUGACAUGAAAGUGGCGCACGGGUGCGUAACACGUAUGUAACCUACCUUUAACUGGGGGCAUAGCUUCGAGAAAUCGAAAUUAAUACCCCCAUAACAUUUAGAAAAAGGCAUCUUUUCUUUAUCAAAGUUCCGGCGGUUAAAGAUGGACAUGCGGUGCAUUAGCUUGUUGGUGAGGUAACGGCUCACCAAGGCUACGAUGCAUAGGGGGUCUGAGAGGAUGAUCCCCCACACUGGUACUGAGACACGGACCAGACUCCUACGGGAGGCAGCAGUAGGGAAUAUUGGGCAAUGGACGAAAGUCUGACCCAGCCACGCCGCGUGAAGGAUGACUGCCCUAUGGGUUGUAAACUUCUUUUGUAUGGGAAGAAAAUUCCGAACGUGUUCGGAGCUGACGGUACCAUAAGAAUAAGCAUCGGCUAACUCCGUG